UUCUGGUUGAUCCUGCCGGCGGGCACCGCUAUUGGAGUUCGCUAAAGCCAUGCGAGUCGAGAGGGGUAAGCCCUCGGCGCACUGCUCAGUAACACGCGGACAAUCUGCCCUCGAGACGGGGAUAAUCCCGGGAAACUGGGAAUAAUACCCGAUAGGUCUGGGAUGAUGGAAGGCUCCCUGGCCAAAAUCUUCCGGGGCUCGAGGAUGGGUCUGCGGCCUAUCAGGUCGUAGGGGGUUUUACGGACCCCCUAGCCGAAGACGGGUACGGGCUUUGGGAGAAGUCGCCCGGAGAUGGAUUCUGAGACACGAAUCCAGGUCCUACGGGACGCAGCAGGCGCGAAACCUCCACAAUGUGGGCAACCACGAUGGGGGAACUCCAAGUGCUUACACUUUUGUGUAAGCUGUUCUCGAGCCUAAAAAGCUCGAGAGUAAGGGCCGGGUAAGACGGGUGCCAGCCGCCGCGGUAAUACCCGCGGCCCGAGUGGUGCUCAUUAUUAUUUGAGCCUAAAGCGUCCGUAGCUGGCCGGGCAAAUCUCCGGGUAAGUCGGGCCGCUCAACGGUCCGAAUUCCGGAGACCCUGCUCGGCUUGGGAUCGGGAGAGGGUGAAGUACUCCCGGGUAGGGGUAAAUCCUGUA
This 635-nucleotide ribosomal RNA is filed under the name uncultured Thermoplasmatales archaeon. Its description in RNAcentral is "bacterial SSU rRNA". It matches the Rfam family "Archaeal small subunit ribosomal RNA", at positions 1 to 644 of the family's 1478-position model. Lineage: Archaea; Methanobacteriati; Thermoplasmatota; Thermoplasmata; Thermoplasmatales. The record is from RNAcentral.